Neopsephotus bourkii (Bourke's parrot) is the source of this 693-nucleotide long non-coding RNA. RefSeq lists it as uncharacterized. Lineage: Eukaryota; Metazoa; Chordata; Aves; Psittaciformes; Psittacidae. The transcript is spliced from 3 exons. The record is from RefSeq and is a predicted model, not a curated record.
CUGGGAUCUCUCAAGCCAUUUGCUCCUGCUGUGAUGCUCCAACUCCUCUCUCCCCACCAGGAACCUGGGAUUGCUGAGCCUUGUUUUGUCCCAGGGAUGCUGCCUCGUGCGAUGCUGAAGGAGCCGGAGCAUUCUCCCCCUUGGUGCAGCCCCUUGCCCACCCGCCCCGAGCCUGGUGAUGCUCUGGGGGCUGCAGCCCACCCUCACCUUGCACUCAGCUGCCCUUCAAAUUACUGCACACAGCAGUUCUCUUCUGCUUGAGCGUCCGCCAGCAGGUCCCCAGCAGGUGAUGCUUUGGAGGCAGCUCCUGAAGCUUGGUCAUGAGCCCAUGAUGGCCAACAGCUUUCUGAUGGUGGUGGAGGUAGGGAAUCUUCUUCUAUGGAGCAAAGCCCACAGAGGGGCUGGAUGUUUGUACCUUUCAGUGAUGUUUUGCUGUCUUGGGUGCACUUGAGAUGCCUCCUGCAGCUGUGGCCAGGGAGGGAAACCUGUGUGCUGAUGUAAAGUGAGAUCCUGGGGUGCGUUCAGGCUUUUUAGUUGCAGUCAGGAUCACUGGGGCUCUGUUGGCUGCUGCCUUGGAGGUGCCCGAUCCAUCAACACCUCUGACAGCUCAAGGUUUUGCUGUGGGUCUCCCUUGCACUUCAAGCCAUGAUGGUUUUCCCCCCCUGGUUUGGUCUGGGACUGGUACCCAAAGUG